RNAcentral lists this ribosomal RNA (484 nucleotides) under uncultured bacterium. Its description in RNAcentral is "partial 16S ribosomal RNA". It matches the Rfam family "Bacterial small subunit ribosomal RNA", at positions 30 to 507 of the family's 1533-position model. The record is from RNAcentral.
AUUGAACGCUGGCGGCAGGCCUAACACAUGCAAGUCGAGCGCAUGAAGGGAGCUUGCUCCUGGAUUCAGCGGCGGACGGGUGAGUAAUGCCUAGGAAUCUGCCUGGUAGUGGGGGAUAACGUCCGGAAACGGGCGCUAAUACCGCAUACGUCCUGAGGGAGAAAGUGGGGGAUCUUCGGACCUCACGCUAUCAGAUGAGCCUAGGUCGGAUUAGCUUGUUGGUGGGGUAAAGGCCUACCAAGGCGACGAUCCGUAACUGGUCUGAGAGGAUGAUCAGUCACACUGGAACUGAGACACGGUCCAGACUCCUACGGGAGGCAGCAGUGCGGAAUAUUGGACAAUGGGCGAAAGCCUGAUCCAGCCAUGCCGCGUGUGUGAAGAAGGUCUUCGGAUUGUAAAGCACUUUAAGUUGGGAGGAAGGGCAGUAAGUUAAUACCUUGCUGUUUUGACGUUACCAGCAGAAUAAGCACCGGCUAACUUCGUG